Molecule: long non-coding RNA, 395 nt
Organism: Ictalurus punctatus (channel catfish)
Lineage: Eukaryota; Metazoa; Chordata; Actinopteri; Siluriformes; Ictaluridae
Source: Ensembl
GAUCACGCUACUCUGGGAGUCCUCAAGAUCUGAGAGGGAUGUGUCCAACAAAAUCAAGCGCCAUAAACCUUUGGCACAUCCAGCGACAGCUGCUAAGGGAGUUCACAGUCAAUCCGGAGCCUAUCCUGGGAGCACCGGGCAUGAGGAAUGUUCCAGCCACAGAACAUCUUCCACUAAAUGUUUGAUAUUGUCUUUAACAAAAGAAGAUUUGGAUGCAAUGGAUUUUAACAGGAAACAGGGCAAGCACAUCACACAUGACAAAUUAUCAAAUUCAAAAAGACUGGAAGUGUUGCAGAACAACAGAGAAGUGGACGCCCAUGAACAUCCAUGCACAACAUCCAUGAACAACAUGAUGAAGGAACAACCUACAUGGUGCUGGAAAACAUGGGACAUCC